RNAcentral lists this ribosomal RNA (821 nucleotides) under uncultured bacterium. RNAcentral's name for it is "bacterial SSU rRNA". It matches the Rfam family "Bacterial small subunit ribosomal RNA", at positions 90 to 907 of the family's 1533-position model. The record is from RNAcentral.
AUUCAGCGGCGGACGGGUGAGUAAUGCCUAGGAAUCUGCCCGAUAGUGGGGGACAACGUUUCGAAAGGAACGCUAAUACCGCAUACGUCCUACGGGAGAAAGCAGGGGACCUUCGGGCCUUGCGCUAUCGGAUGAGCCUAGGUCGGAUUAGCUAGUUGGUGGGGUAAAGGCUCACCAAGGCGACGAUCCGUAACUGGUCUGAGAGGAUGAUCAGUCACACUGGAACUGAGACACGGUCCAGACUCCUACGGGAGGCAGCAGUGGGGAAUAUUGGACAAUGGGCGAAAGCCUGAUCCAGCCAUGCCGCGUGUGUGAAGAAGGUCUUCGGAUUGUAAAGCACUUUAAGCUGGGAGGAAGGGCAGUAAGUUAAUACCUUGCUGUUUUGACGUUACCAGCAGAAUAAGCACCGGCUAACUUCGUGCCAGCAGCCGCGGUAAUACGAAGGGUGCAAGCGUUAAUCGGAAUUACUGGGCGUAAAGCGCGCGUAGGUGGUUCAGCAAGUUGGAUGUGAAAGCCCCGGGCUCAACCUGGGAACUGCAUCCAAAACUACUGAGCUAGAGUACGGUAGAGGGUGGUGGAAUUUCCUGUGUAGCGGUGAAAUGCGUAGAUAUAGGAAGGAACACCAGUGGCGAAGGCGACCACCUGGACUGAUACUGACACUGAGGUGCGAAAGCGUGGGGAGCAAACAGGAUUAGAUACCCUGGUAGUCCACGCCGUAAACGAUGUCAACUAGCUGUUGGGUUCCUUGAGAACUUAGUAGCGAAGCUAACGCGAUAAGUUGACCGCCUGGGGAGUACGGCCGCAAGGUUAAAACUCAAAUG